Molecule: ribosomal RNA, 521 nt
Filed under: Eucnemidae sp. UPOL 001234
Lineage: Eukaryota; Metazoa; Arthropoda; Insecta; Coleoptera; Eucnemidae
Description: partial 16S ribosomal RNA
Rfam family: Bacterial large subunit ribosomal RNA
Source: RNAcentral
CAUGUCUUUUUGAGAAUAAUUUAAGGUUUAAUCUGCCCAGUGAAUGUUUUAACGGCCGCGGUAUUUUGACUGUGCUAAGGUAGCGUGAUAAUUAGUUUCUUAAUUGGAAACUGGUAUGAAGGAUUGGACGAGAAGAGAGCUGUCUCGGUGGAGAUUUAAUUGAAUUUAAUUUUUAAGUUAAAAGACUUAAUUGUUUUUAGAGGACGAGAAGACCCUAUAGAGUUUAAAAUUUAAUUUAUUAUUUGUUAUUUGGAAUUUUUAAGUCUUAAUUGGUUUAAAUUUUUGGUUGGGGUGAUUAAAAGAUUUAUUUAACUCUUUUUUUUUCAACAGUAAUUUCUGGAUAAAGGAUCUAUUUUUUAUAAUUGAAAGACUAAAUUACCUUAGGGAUAACAGCGUAAUUUUCUAUAAAGUUCUUAUUAAAUUUAAAGAUUGCGACCUCGAUGUUGGAUUAAAAUUGGUGAUUGGUGCAUUAGCUUAUACACUAAGUCUGUUCGACUUUUAAAAUUUUACAUGAUCUGAGU